GGCUCAGGAGACCUGGGUUCAAAUCCCUCCUUGGCCUCCAAAACUUUCUGGAGAAUAGCAAAGAUGGUCAUGAGGAAUGCCAGACAACAGGAGAGUGCAGGUUUUUGAACGAGGAGUCAGUCAUUCAGCCAAGAAAGAAGGACAAUCAACAAUAUCGAAGGUUGUGUGGCAGUUUGAACAAGCCAUGGACAAUGUGAAGAAAACCGUCCAGAGAACCUCAGAAAGGAACCUACUUUCUAGAAUUAAUGUGCAGCCAUGUUAGUUUCUGAAAGGUCUCUGAAGAGUGUCGUGAGCCCUCUUGAACACAAACCACAGUGGACUUGCCAGAAAGAUGGAACUGAACAUCAGAAACCAUUUUGCACAAACUGUUAUUAGCCUCUGUGUGGCCAUCUCUGCUCUCACUCUGCCCCAGGAUCCUGUUCCCUCUCAGCAGAUCCCUCCCUCCCCAGGAGUCUGACUUGCUGUGGCUCCCAGAGCCCCAGUCCUUAUCAAUACCUGGAACCAGAGCCCCUUCCUCUAAUUGGGAAACCAAGAGGGACAUGCCCAGGGAUGCAACGAUCCAGAUUGGCAGAUCUCUCCGAGCCCUCCCCCAGCCCCCAUAUCCCACCCCUGUGAGCCUCAUCCCAUCCCCCCACCUGUGGACCCCCAGACACCCUCACCCGACGGCUGUAGCUGCUGGGCUCCUGUGAG
Non-coding RNA from Pogona vitticeps (central bearded dragon), 690 nucleotides. NCBI's taxonomy places the organism in Eukaryota, Metazoa, Chordata, Lepidosauria, Squamata, Agamidae. The record is from RefSeq and is a predicted model, not a curated record.